UCUCUUCUUUCUGCCUUAAUUUUUCCUUUUUCUUCCUUCGGGAAGUGUCUUCUUUUGCCUCACUUUGCUGAUCACUAGCAGAGUUUGCCUCAAAUAUGUCAUUAUUUAAUAUCCUUCUUUAUUUAAUAUCCUGAAUAUCCUUCUUGACUGCUUUAGCUUUGUUCUCUGCAACUUUCUUCCUAAAUUCAAGAAGAACUUCUUUACAGUCCUCUAGACGAAUCUUGGGCUCCCAAGUAUCAUCCUCUGAUGUAUAUCUUUUCCAUCGAACUUUAUACAGGAUGCUAUCCUUUUUGUGUGGCUGGGUCUCUAUUCUGGGAUGAAUGGGAAUUCCUUAAGACUUUAAACCUGGAACUGAUUCACGUUGGUCUUCAUGUCCAGGUCUGCUCCACCUCGAACACUCCUUCCCGUCCUCCUCACUGUCCCCCACGGCCUCUGCUGCUUUGGCGGCUGGGUCCUUCUCUUCACCCGCUGCUUCAAAUCCUUCUUGGACUUCAUGCAACUUGCGGUUGUUGUCAGCACCUGGUUCAGUCACCGUGGUUACAACUGCCCCUUCUGCAGCCGCAACCAUUGUAGGACCUCCGUAAACUGUCAAGAACCUUGUUUAUCCUUUUUAUGUCCACAAGGAAGGCUCCUUGUCUGCAUCUCAUGCUUAAGAAAAAUUAGGUUAUCAACAGUGUUUAUAUGUGUGUGUGUGUCUUAAUUUUCAUUUCCACGUGUCAGAUUGAGUCACAUUAUUUUAAAUUUCAGAUGACAGAUAAUGGACUUUCACCCUUGAAGACAGCACUGAGGCUUGCCAAGCCAUAUAUCUGUGAAUUUGAAGUGAGCACUUUUACCAUCAAGUAUACGAAAGAGCUCUUCAAUCUGAAGAAAUAUCAGCUGCCUCUGCAGGCAUCACGGGUGACCUUUGAUGAUUUGAGGGUGUUUGAUCAACAACUCUUGAAAUUGUCAGCGAUCCGGAGCUGCAGAGUCAUCCUACAUCCUGUGUUCUGCUCAUGCCUCCUAGGUCUUCAUGAGUUUGACCCCCAUCGUGUGCUCAGUUUUACAGCCAGUCUGCCCCAUCCCUAAGCUCUAAACUUAUUAUCCCAACUCCCAGAUUUCCCCCACUAUCUACUUACUGCUUUUGAAUCUAGUGUAGGAGAAGAAAAUAAUUUCUUAUGAAAUAACAAUUAUAAAUUGUGCAACAUAAACUGAUGCUAUUUAAAAACAAAUGCUUGGAUUUAAGGAAAAAUGUAAUUCUUCAAAAGAAGGAAAAUUAAUGACCUUAGUGAAGUGGUACUUCAAACUUCCAAUAGCUACCAAG
RNAcentral lists this long non-coding RNA (1300 nucleotides) under Fukomys damarensis (Damara mole-rat). RNAcentral's name for it is "lncRNA (ENSFDAG00000028892.1)". Lineage: Eukaryota; Metazoa; Chordata; Mammalia; Rodentia; Bathyergidae. The record is from RNAcentral.